This 661-nucleotide long non-coding RNA is filed under the name Ananas comosus (pineapple). Its description in RNAcentral is "long non-coding RNA (ACOM_LNC000791)". Lineage: Eukaryota; Viridiplantae; Streptophyta; Magnoliopsida; Poales; Bromeliaceae. The record is from RNAcentral.
UUUUAAGUUGUUCCAUUUAGUUCUCUCCAUCCGCCAAAGUUCAAUCACUAUUCCGUCUAUUUUUUUUAUAAUUUAUAUCAAAAAUAUUUUUUAAAUAAUAAAAAUAUAUUAUAAAUUUAUUUCUUUAAUAAAAAAGUGAGAAUAAUUUGAUCAUUUUGUCCUCUCCAUUAAUACUGUACUCUCUUGAAAAUAUUUCUGAAAUUUUAAGAGGGUAAAAUAUAAAUUUUUAAAAGUCUGAGAGUAGGGACGAAGCUAGGAUUCAAUUUUGAGGGGGGCCAAAAUAUAUUUAAAUAGAAAUUUUAGUAAAAAAUAAUAAACAAAAUUUUUUCUAAUUAAAAAUUUUUUAUUAAAAAAAUAUUAAUUAAAUAAAUAAUGUAAAAGUAUGAAUUUUAUAUUUUUUAUUUUCAUAUAUUUAACUUCUAAUUAUUUUUUUUAUAUUAUUACAUUAAAAUAACUCAGAAAUUUUACUAAAUCUAACAGUAAUUUCUUAGUUUUUUAAUAAAUAAAAUUAACAUACCUAUUAAAUUUAGUGCAAUUUUUGAUUUAGUCAAAUAAAAGAGCUCACCUAAGAUAAAUAAAAGUUUUAAAAAAUUAUUAAAUAAAAUUUUUAGAGUAGAGAAAUAUAUUACAAAAUACUCUAUAAGCAAGAAGCUUUUAAUAU